Molecule: ribosomal RNA, 468 nt
Filed under: uncultured bacterium
Lineage: Bacteria
Description: bacterial SSU rRNA
Rfam family: Bacterial small subunit ribosomal RNA
Source: RNAcentral
CAAGUCGAACGGCAGCACGGGGGCAACCCUGGUGGCGAGUGGCGAACGGGUGAGUAAUGUAUCGGAACAUGUCCGGAAGUGGGGGAUAACGUAGCGAAAGUUACGCUAAUACCGCAUAUGCCCUGAGGGGGAAAGGAGGGGAUCGUAAGACCUUUCGCUUUCGGAGUGGCCGAUAUCAGAUUAGCUUGUUGGUGAGGUAAAGGCUCACCAAGGCGACGAUCUGUAGCUGGUCUGAGAGGACGACCAGCCACACUGGGACUGAGACACGGCCCAGACUCCUACGGGAGGCAGCAGUGGGGAAUUUUGGACAAUGGGGGCAACCCUGAUCCAGCCAUGCCGCGUGAGUGAAGAAGGCCUUCGGGUUGUAAAGCUCUUUCAGCCGGAAAGAAAUCGUGCAACCUAAUACGUUGUAUGGAUGACGGUACCGGAAGAAGAAGCACCGGCUAACUACGUGCCAGCAGCCGCGGU